Molecule: ribosomal RNA, 1420 nt
Filed under: Rhazya stricta
Lineage: Eukaryota; Viridiplantae; Streptophyta; Magnoliopsida; Gentianales; Apocynaceae
Description: bacterial SSU rRNA
Source: RNAcentral
CGAAUUUGAUCCUGGCUUAGGAUGAACUUUGACAGCAUGCUUAACACAUACAAUUCAAAUGAGAAGUGGUGUUUCUAGUGGCGGACGAGAGAGUAAUGUGUGAGAGCCUAUCAUUGGAAAGAGAACAAUAGCUGCAAAUGGAUGAUAAUACCCCAUACGCUGAGGAGCAAAAUGAGGCAUUCACCCAAUGAGAGGCUCGCGUCUGAUUAGCUUGUUGGUGAGGCAAUAGCUUACCAAGGUGAUGAUAAGUAGCUGGUUCAAGAUGAUGAUCAGGCACACUGGGAUUGAGGGAUGACCUAGAGUCCUAUGAGGUCUUCAAAUGGGAAUUUUCUAUAAUUGGCGAAAGCCUGACAGAGCAAUAUCGCAUGGAGGUAGAAGGCCAACAGGUUGUAAACUUCUUUUCCCAGAGAARAAGCAUUGACGGCAUCUAGGGAAUAAGCAUCAGUUAACUCUGUGCCAACAACCGUGGUAAUAUAGAAGAUGCAAGCCUAAUUCAGAAUGAUUGGGCGUAAAGCGUCCUUAGAUAGCUUUAUAAGUCCGCCGCCAAAUCCCAUGGCUCAACUUUGGACAGGCGGUGGAAACUACCAAGCUGGGAUAUGGUAGGGAUCGAGGGAAUUUCUGGUGGAGUGAUGAAAUGCRUAGAGAUCGGAAAGAGCGCCAAGGGUGAUAGCACUAUGUUGGGACGACACUGACGCUGAGAGAUAAAAGCUAGGUGAGUGAAUGGGAUUAGAUAUCCCAGUGGUCCUAGCUGUAAACAAUUGAUAUGAAGAGUUSUGCGCGUCGCCCAUGCAUUACUGUAGCUAACAUGUUAAGUAUCUGGCAUGAGAAGUACGUUUGCAAGAAUGAAACUCAAAGGAACUAACGGGAGGCCACACAAGCCGUGGACCAUGUGGUUUAAUUCGAUGCAAAGUGAAGAACCUUACCAAGGCUGGACAUGCCGUGAACCUCUUGAAAGAGAGGGGUGCCUUCAGGAAUAUGGACAUAUAAGGUGCAUGGUUAUCAUUAGCUCAUGCCGUAAAGUGUUAGGUGAAGCCCCACAAUGAGCACAACCCUCGUGUUUAGUCACCGUCAUUGAGUUCAGAACCCUAAAUAGACUACCAGUGAUAAGCCAAAUGAAGGUAAGGAUGAUGACUGGACAUCAUGCCUCUUAUGCCAUGGGCGACACACGUGCUGCAAUGGUCGGGACAAAGGGUCGCCAUCCCUUGAGGGUGAGCUAACCCUAAAAACCCAUCCUCAGUUCAAAUUGUAGGCUGCAACUCACAUGCAUGAAGCCGAAUUCGCUAGUAAAUGCUGGCUAUGGCAGUGAAUUCGUUCCCGAGCCUUGUACACAUCGCUCAUCACACUAUGGAGAGUUCCUAAUCGAAUCGCUUUAAGAAGAAUAUAUUUUAUCUCAGGGUAGCCUACUCCAAUUCAAAAUCAU